This 503-nucleotide ribosomal RNA is filed under the name uncultured bacterium. RNAcentral describes it as "partial 16S ribosomal RNA". It matches the Rfam family "Bacterial small subunit ribosomal RNA", at positions 28 to 523 of the family's 1533-position model. The record is from RNAcentral.
GAUGAACGCUAGCGGCAGGCCUAACACAUGCAAGUCGAGGGGUAGCAGGAUUAAGCUUGCUUAAUUGCUGACGACCGGCGCACGGGUGCGUAACGCGUAUGCAACCUACCUUAUACUGGGGUAUAGCCCGGAGAAAUUCGGAUUAAUCCCCCAUAGUACUAAUGAAUCGCAUGGUUUAUUAGUUAAAGCAUUGCGGUAUAAGAUGGGCAUGCGUCCUAUUAGCUAGAUGGUGAGGUAACGGCUCACCAUGGCUACGAUAGGUAGGGGGCCUGAGAGGGUGGUCCCCCACACUGGUACUGAGACACGGACCAGACUCCUACGGGAGGCAGCAGUGAGGAAUAUUGGUCAAUGGGCGCAAGCCUGAACCAGCCAUGCCGCGUGCAGGAAGAAUGCCCUAUUGGUUGUAAACUGCUUUUAUUUGGGAAUAAACCUCUAUACGUGUAGAGAGCUGAAGGUACCAAAUGAAUAAGCACCGGCUAACUCCGUGCCAGCCGCCGCGGUAA